GGGAGUGUAUGGGCUCUGGUGGGCUCCACGGACUUCAAACCCGAUGGGGGGCAUCCUUCGAUGUCCUCGGGGGGUUCGACUCCCUCACGCUCCC
RNAcentral lists this transfer RNA (94 nucleotides) under marine eukaryotic metagenome. Its description in RNAcentral is "Selenocysteine transfer RNA". It matches the Rfam family "Selenocysteine transfer RNA". The record is from RNAcentral.